UAAACUCCACACAGAAAGACCCUGCUGGCCUGAUGGUGGAACUGAACUCAUGUCCUUCUCGCUGUGCGGCAACAGUGCUAACCACCUUGCCACUGUGCUGUUACUUUUAUAAUAUUGUUUAAUGGCAGUUUUCUAAAAACACAUGAAAGGGAUGUAAUCUAACCAAAACUGUUUUGAUGCCUGAAGGGGAAUAAGUUAUGGAACUAGAAGUCUUUUCUGCCAAUGUGAUUAAGUUUCUUCACACAGACUUUUUGCUCUUUUUUUGUCAUUCAGAUGAUGGACUGUUUGGGAUGUUGUGAUGUAGCUGCUGAAGAGAGUACAAACAUACUGUUUUUGACUAGUUAGAACAUUAAAUGUAAAAUUCAAGAUAAGACUGAGCAAAAACCUUCCACUGAUGCGUUUCUCUCCCACACAUAUUUGAUGGCAUCACAAGACAAUCUUAAAUGAGGCAAAAUGCCAUGUCAAGAAAACAGAAGCACGGUCAGAACAAAGUAUAAAAAAUUAGCCUGCAUCUCACCUGCAUUGAAGGUCAAGGCCAUUACAUUUUCACAUUCAUCUUAAGCCAUGCAGCAUGCAAUCUACAGCAUCUUAUCUGAGCACAAAGCAGUGAAAUGCUCAAUUGCACUUCAUUGUAUUAUAUUAUAUUAUGGAUUAUAUUUGAUAGCAUCAGGGGGACUUUUAUGGAUUUUCAGACAUGGAAAAAAAACAAAACAAGUUACGUGAUCUGUGACCUCCUACUCACAAUGUGUUCUCCAUCUUCAGGGAUAUAUUCAAACCUAAAUAUCUAUUCUUUUUAAGUAAAAAUAUUUGGGCUAUCAUGAAUUUAAAGCUAACCAAUAUCUGAAGUGUGAAUAACUGUAUUAAAAAUUGGUUUAACUUUUAAUGUUGCUCAGUGGCCAUCUUGUCAGUGUCACUGUGAACAAAAGUCACUCUCACAACAUCCUCUCCAACUUGUGAUCCAACCAAUCAAAAAAGGCACACCACUCACAUGGUCACAGACCAAUGUCAUUCACUUCCUGUAUGGAAAAUAUUCUUGUGCUGCAUAAAUAAGUAACUAUAAGUAGUUAGGUAAGGCUGACUCUUUGGUUGUAUAUCUGUUAUAGAUGCUCUACAGUAUAAUUGCUAUGAUUAUUACAUAUACAGUUUAAUCUUUUUUUGUGGCAUUAAAGUUGUUAAAGGUGUUGUAUAGAGAUAAGGACACAAAUAACACAUGACACUCAGUACUGGUAAGAAAAUGUUGUUGCUAUUUUUGUUGUGACGCAUGUAGGUUUACACAGGAUGUAAUCUUUUUUUACUAACAAUUUAAGGUAUCUGACUACAAUCACAUCUUAUUUAAGUUCUGCUCUUUGGCUGCAGUUCUUUAGUUUUAUGUAGUUAAAAAGACAAUGCAAUGCUUCAUGUGAUAUUUUUGUGGUAGACUGUUUAUUAAGUGCUGCUUCAUUGUCCAGGACAUUCUUGAUAAUUACAUCUUAUUUAUAAUUUAACUUUUAUAAUGUGAGUCGGCUAUACUGAAAUCUUGUUUCUAAAUAAUCUUUUCUUCAAGUUGCUAUGGGAGAGUUUCUCAGAUAUUUGAGCAUCAACCGGACCUCGACACUGAUAUGUUGCAUCUGUAUUUUCCUGGAAGCAGGUGGGAACAGCAUCUCCUUGACAGCUGGGAGCAGAGUGACCCUGCACUGUAGCAAUAACUCAAUCAGCAACCUCCUUCAACUGAGAUGGGCAAGUAAUGGGACUCAUCUGUUUAGUUUCAGGCCACAGAAAACCUCAAACAACAGCUCUGUCACCUUAAGCAGUAAUCGGAAAUACCUCAGACAGCAGAAUAAUAAGGUCUCAUACAGCUGCCAUCCUGAAUCUAAACAUGUCCACCUUAGAAAGCCAACUGUAUCCACUAAUCAUAGAGGGAGCCCAGAAAUAUCACACAGGAAACUACAAUUGUGAAAAGACCACAGACUCAGGAGUCUUUGAACAGAAAUGGGAGCUCAUAAUUACGGGUGAGUUCCUGUAUAGUUUUUAUAACAGAUAAAACACAAGCAUUCCUUAUGGAGCAGCAAAGAAUAAAACAGAGCUUUUAAACACAACGAUAACAGAGUCAAAAAUGGCUAUGGUACUGCCAUAAAAAAAUGAACACACCUGGCUAAUUAAUUACUGACUGAACACUGUGGGAGGCAGGUGGGAAAUGGAAACAAGAAGAGUGGGAAAUUUUUGCACUGUCCUCACCAGCUUCUUUCUUUUUCAGAGGAAGCUGAAUCAUGUAAAAUCCAUGACGCCACAGCAGUUAUUGUACAUUGUGUGUGUUUCCUGGUUAUUACAAUUACUGCUUUGGCCAUUAUGAGAAAAGUCUGCAAACAACGAUCAAAAAACAUCAUCAGAUCUCUCAGUGCAAGAUUGUCUGUUGAGAAUUUAUGACUUUAAUACAAUUAAUAUUAGACAAUAGGAUAUACAGUUCAGUCCACAACUUUGCCUUGUACUCCAUCCACAGUGGAUUUUUAAAUUAAAUAUUUGGUAUGUGAUUGAAGUGCAGACUUUCAGCUUUAAUAAUAAGAAGUUCAUCAAAAGUAUUACAACUGUUUAUCUUUUUUUUAUAUAUACAUAGCCCUCCAUUUUUUAUUUUUACCAACCUUUGCAUUUUUACUAAGUCCUUGGGGGGACAAUGAAUAGUCAAAGCCAUGGACAUCCCCAAAUGUCGCAUUGCCUCCAUUGAGAUGCUCUGCUAGGCCUUUGUUGCAGCUUUCAGUUGCAGUUGUUUGUGGGUCUUUCUGCUUUCAAUUUUGUCUUUGGUAACUAAAAGGUGCUCUGCUGGACCCAGAUGUGGUGACUGGCUUGUUAAGUAUCACACAUAACAGAAUGCCUGAUGUUGGCCAAUGCCCAUUUUCUUUGUCUAGAGAAACUCGUGAUUUGUUUUGACAGUAUGGGUGGAGUAAAUGCCCUGCAUCUAGCUCAGUGGGAGUAGAGAGUAACACCCUCUACAGAUCUGGAAUCUGUUUCAUAUGUUAUGAAACAAUAAGGGUACAGUCCUCAGCUGGCCAUGAAACCACUGACUGUAAUUCCUAAACAACUAAUGCAAUACUUUUGUAAAACACCUUGAUCAAAAGCUGAAAAACUGCACUUUAAUCGCAUCUUAAUCAUUUGAUUUAAAAUCUGGUGUGGUUGUGUACAGAGGCAAAAUUACAAAAAACAAAAAUGUGUCCAAAACCGUAUGGUUCUCCCUGCAGGCUAGUAUGAAAUCAAUCUGAACUACUAUAUCGUCCACUUUAGGAAAGGAUAAUGAAAUUUACUGAGCCUGAAGAUACUGAUUUUUCUUCUGUAGGAGGAGCAGAGAAGAUCUUUAUGAAAACUCCUGGGAAAUUGAAACUUGGUCAGAUUCAGCUCGACUCUUACAAAUACAGGGCUGAAUGACCUAAAUUUUCAUGGUUCUGGGUCAUUUUGACCCAGUGUUUUUAAAUUCUUGUGUUUUGGUGUAAUUUUUGUCUUAUGGUUUAUGUUUUAGGUUCAUUAGCAGUCUUUAGAUUAGUCUGUCUUGAGGUUCUUAUAUUCCUUUUUGGUUCCUUGUCCUUUAGGUUCCCCUUGUGUCUCUGUCCUCUGUGUUUGUGUGUGCCCUUGUGUCUUCUUUCCCUUUUCUGUUCCCAUGUUCUCCUCAUGUUUCAUUAAAUGCCUCCCCCCCCCUGCUGGUCAUGUUUAUCCCAUGUCUCUCCUCUUGCUCUUUCUCAGGUUCCUUGCUCUCUCUCUGUGUCUCGACUGCGUCCUAAUGCUUCCUGUUUUACUUUGAUAGUCUCCUGUCUGGUGUGCGUCAGUUUUGUUUCCCUGUCUCAUUAGUUAGAUCACAUUCAGCCCUUGUGUGUAUUUAUGUUUGCGUCUCCCUGUGUCCUGAUCUCCCUCAUGGCUGUGUGUUCCUCUGUAUGUUUAGUUUUGUUUCCUGUAUUUCAGUUUGGUUUAAUUUAGUUGUGUAUCUCCUGUACUCCAGCAAUAAAGCUGUGUUUUUUUGAGUACUGCCUGUGAGUCUGCUUUUGUCUCCUAUCCUGCCUGCUGUGUACACCAAAUGACACACAAUAAAAGAAGAGACAACUUUGAGCUUUAAACUUUCAAGUUAUGUCUGAUCAUGAGCACCCAAGAUUUUUCCCCCAGCACAUUUCUUCCUCAGACAUUAUACCACCACCACACAAAACACAACCACUACCUUUAAUCCACCGGAUGAUAAAAAUGUGUCAUAUUUUUCAUAAAAAGUUGACUUAUUUCAUUAAAAAUUCUUAAAAGCUGAUCUUUAUCUCCUCCCUUAUUAACAUCCACAACUGUGACACUAUAUAGGCAUAAAGAGUGUUAAGCAUUUUACUGGACUCGGGGGCCUUAGCAUGAAGCAACUUCAACAUAGCUGCAGGUUUCUUUAUUAAUCCAGUCUUUCUUCACUCACACAUUUAACUCUUCUUUUACACAGAACUGAAUACUUGAGUUCCACUUAAUUGAAAUGGGUGAUAAUCCAUAAUAAAAAUACAAAAAAUAAAAGGGGGGCAACAGGAAACACUGCAGCUGGAAAUAAGGGCAAGAGCUCUGGUAAACUGUUGUGCUGCUAUUUAUUUUUAAAGUGACAUUAAGCUGCACAUAGGGUUGUUAUACUGUCAAGCUGCUGCACAAAAAAUCAUAGUCUACUCUGUGCAUUAAUGGUCUGAUAUUGUGCCACAGCGUAUUUAAAUAGAUGUGGAAAUUUCUUGGUUUGUGGACAGAUCAAAGUGAAAUGAAUUACACUGAUCAAAUAUUUGUCAAGAUAAACAGCUGACUGUUGCUACUGUUUCCAUUUGGUGGUUUAAAACAUAUUUAUAGGUUUUCUGUGUCACUAACCGAAUAUUUUAUAAAUUCUAGUGUAAGUUCCCAGAAGAUCAUCAUUUGGUGGGAAUAGUGAGAUAUGUCUUAACAGGUUUCAGCAGAGACUCUGUAGCAUCCAUAGUGCAUUAGAAGACUCAUUUAAAGGACUUUAAACCAUCUCCAGUUCAUUAUGUGUUCAGCAUGAGUUAUCAUGGUAAUCUAGUGAGGUGGGAAGUAAGACAUCUUUGCGACACUGCAAACACUGACUUCAAGUGAAACGUACACACACAAACUCAGACAUUGGUCAAUCGUUGACCAAACCAAGGAGUUUCCAUUUUGUAGACAUUGCAUGAAUCAGUGUGAAUAAAAGUGUCUCACUUAUGUGCUGUCAUGUUUGUGAGGUUGUGUGCAGGGUUAACCACUGAAAAAUAAGUAAUUAUAACUCAUUAAAACUACGGUUUGUCAUGUGGAAACUGUUCCUGUUAGCUACUAGACAGCCAUUGAUGUGGGAUAUAGCAGCAUUCGAUAAAACAAAGAAAUAAAAGGUUUUUUUUCUAUAUUAAUAAGAUAUUCAGGGGCAUGCUGGUAAUUUUUUUUUUUUUAUUCUUUACAAUUCAAGUCAAAAAUCAUGGAUUCAUAACAUAAAACAGUAACUUGUGUAAACAAAAAAGUAGAGUUUGAGACAUCCUGACCUUCCAGUUUGACUAAAAUUCUAAGUUUUCCAAGAGCAUUUUUUCCAAAUAAGCUCUUCAGUUUCUUCAGUCAGUUUUUUAAAAUAAAACAUCGACUGUGCCUGAAAGCAGUUCCUGUUAGCAGUGAGAUAGAGGUUGCCAUUAAACUUCCAGGGGCUGGAUAGACUCUCCUUUAACACUGAUUCGUCCGCCAAGAACAGUCUGGAUUUAUCUAGCUCUAUUUAUUUUUUUUUAUAGACUCACAACCACUGGCUAAAUUAUUAGGUAGGCAUCACUAGUACCAUGUUGGAUCCCCUUCUGCUUUCAGCAGCUUCAAAAGCAUAUUCAGCUUAAUAUUAAAUGAUUAAAACACAGUUCCCAAGGUAAUAAUGUUGGUAUGUUACUUCAGAAGAAUUUAUGAAAAUAGAGUGUGAGGUUUUUUUUCCUUUUCUCCUGUGUAGUAGACAGCAUUGAAACACGUUAGGUAACUCAGUCUCAAAAAAGACCCACUGCAGUUCAAA
This is a long non-coding RNA of Oreochromis niloticus (Nile tilapia), 5983 nucleotides long. RefSeq lists it as uncharacterized. The transcript has 3 exons. The record is from RefSeq and is a predicted model, not a curated record. Lineage: Eukaryota; Metazoa; Chordata; Actinopteri; Cichliformes; Cichlidae.